CCUACGGGAGGCACCAGUAGGGAAUCUUCGGCAAUGGACGAAAGUCUGACCGAGCAACGCCGCGUGAGUGAAGAAGGUUUUCGGAUCGUAAAACUCUGUUGUUAGAGAAGAACAAGUAGGAGAGUAACUGCUCUUACCUUGACGGUAUCUAACCAGAAAGUCACGGCUAACUACGUGCCAGCAGCCGCGAUAAUACGUAGGUGGCAAGCGUUGUCCGGAUUUAUUGGGCGUAAAGCGAGCGCAGGCGGUCUUUUAAGUCUGAUGUGAAAGCCCUCGGCUCAACCGAGGAAGGUCAUUGGAAACUGGAGGACUUGAGUGCAGAAGAGGAGAGUGGAAUUCCAUGUGUAGCGGUGAAAUGCGUAGAUAUAUGGAGGAACACCUGUGGCGAAGGCGACUCUCUGGUCUGUAACUGACGCUGAGGCUCGAAAGCGUGGGGAGCAAACAGGAUUAGAUACCCUCGUAGUC
This 465-nucleotide ribosomal RNA is filed under the name uncultured bacterium. Its description in RNAcentral is "bacterial SSU rRNA". It matches the Rfam family "Bacterial small subunit ribosomal RNA", at positions 338 to 795 of the family's 1533-position model. The record is from RNAcentral.